This 494-nucleotide ribosomal RNA is filed under the name uncultured bacterium. RNAcentral's name for it is "partial 16S ribosomal RNA". It matches the Rfam family "Bacterial small subunit ribosomal RNA", at positions 28 to 507 of the family's 1533-position model. The record is from RNAcentral.
GACGAACGCUGGCGGCGCGCUUAACACAUGCAAGUCGAACGGAAAGGCCUGCUUUCCCUUGUGGAUUGCGGGUACUCGAGUGGCGAACGGGUGAGUAACACGUGAGUGAUCUGCCCCCAACUUGGGUAUAAGCCUGGGAAACUGGGUCUAAUUCCCGAUAGGACUGCAGGGUGGUGCCUGUGGUGGAAAACGAUUUUCUAGUGGUUGGGGAUGAGCUCGCGGCCUAUCAGCUUGUUGGUGGGGUAAUGGCCUACCAAGGCGGCGACGGGUAGCCGGCCUGAGAGGGUGGACGGCCACAUUGGGACUGAGAUACGGCCCAGACUCCUACGGGAGGCAGCAGUGGGGAAUAGUGCACAAUGGGCGGAAGCAUGAUGCAGCGACGCCGCGUGGGGGAUGACGGCCUUCGGGUUGUAAACUCCUUUCGACCGCGAGGAAGCCACCUGGUUGGAAGGGUGGUGACGGUAGUGGUAGAAGAAGCACCGGCUAACUACGUG